AGAAGAAAGGGUAUGAAGAGGAAGUGAAGUAUGGUGUCAACGGUGCCAGUUCAUCUGCUUCUAAAAACAUUUAUGUAAAAGUAAGAAGACAAAACAGCCAUCGCGCUAAACCCAGGGUGCUGCUGAGCCCCAGGGUGGUGUUGACUGCUGCUGAGGUCCUGACCUGGGAGGAGAGUGAGGGCCGGGCCUUCAACUCCAAGGCCAUGGCUGUAAGAAACAAUCAUUUCCAACCCCACUUAAUUAUCUCUCCCCAGUCACUUUCUUUCCUUCUGUUAUAUUUGUCUUCUGCCAUGUAGGUAAAGGAAGGAAAAACAAAAUUUAAGAAAAGUCUAUGGAGUAGGUUAGGCGGGGGUUAGCGUGGAUGGUGAGACCGAAGGGUCAGAGGAACAUGAGACAGGUCAGACUGGGGUGGCCAACUGUCCCAGUUCACCUGGGACUGAGGAAGUACCUGGGCCUGAGACUCUUGUUUUAAAACUGGGAUGGUCCUGGACAAACCAGGAAGAGUAGAUCCCCCUACUCCCUGAUGGC
RNAcentral lists this long non-coding RNA (528 nucleotides) under Homo sapiens (human). RNAcentral's name for it is "non-protein coding lnc-SERAC1-15:2". The record is from RNAcentral. Lineage: Eukaryota; Metazoa; Chordata; Mammalia; Primates; Hominidae.